AGAGUUUGAUCCUGGCUCAGAACGAACGCUGGCGGCGUGCCUAACACAUGCAAGUCGAACGCGAAAGGGGGCAACCCCCGGUAGCGUGGCAGACGGGUGAGUAACACGUGGGUAACCUACCCCGAGGUGGGGGAUAACCCUCCGAAAGGAGGGCUAAUACCGCAUGACACCUGGAGGUCCCUGGACUUCCAAAUCAAAGCUAGCCUCUGCUUGCAAGCUAGCGCCACGGGAGGGGCCCGCGCCCCAUUAGCUAGUUGGUGAGGUAACGGCUCACCAAGGCCACGAUGGGUAGCCGGCCUGAGAGGGCGAUCGGCCACACUGGAACUGAGACACGGUCCAGACUCCUACGGGAGGCAGCAGUGAGGAAUAUUGCGCAAUGGGCGAAAGCCUGACGCAGCGACGCCGCGUGGAGGACGAAGGUCUUCGGAUCGUAAACUCCUGUCGAGCGGGACGAAGCCGGGACGGUGAACAGCCGUUUCGGUUGACGGUACCGCUAAAGGAAGCCCCGGCUAACUCCGUGCCAGCAGCCGCGGUAAUACGGAGGGGGCCAGCGUUGUUCGGAAUCAUUGGGCGUAAAGGGCGCGUAGGCGGCUUGGUAAGUCCGUUGUGAAAUCCCUCGGCUCAACCGAGGAACUGCGACGGAUACUGCUUGGCUUGAGUCCCGGAGAGGGUAGCGGAAUUCCCAGUGUAGCGGUGAAAUGCGUAGAUAUUGGGAGGAACAUCGGUGGCGAA
Molecule: ribosomal RNA, 732 nt
Filed under: uncultured soil bacterium
Lineage: Bacteria
Description: bacterial SSU rRNA
Rfam family: Bacterial small subunit ribosomal RNA
Source: RNAcentral